UACGGGGGGGGUAAGCGUUGUUCGGAAUUACUGGGCGUAAAGGGCUCGUAGGCGGCCUACUAAGUCAGACGUGAAAUCCCUCAGCUUAACUGGGGAACUGCGUCUGAUACUGGAUGGCUUGGAUCCGGAAGAGGGAUGCGGAAUUCCAGGUGUAGCGGUGGAAUGCGUAGAGAUCCGGAAGAACACCGGAGGCGAAGGCGGCUUGCUGGGCUCGGUCUGACGCUGAGGCGCGAAAGCGUGGGGAGCGAACAGG
RNAcentral lists this ribosomal RNA (253 nucleotides) under uncultured bacterium. RNAcentral's name for it is "partial 16S ribosomal RNA". It matches the Rfam family "Bacterial small subunit ribosomal RNA", at positions 524 to 776 of the family's 1533-position model. The record is from RNAcentral.